RNAcentral lists this transfer RNA (74 nucleotides) under Camelus bactrianus (Bactrian camel). It matches the Rfam family "tRNA". From Rfam's summary of the family: Transfer RNA (tRNA) molecules are approximately 80 nucleotides in length. Lineage: Eukaryota; Metazoa; Chordata; Mammalia; Artiodactyla; Camelidae. RNAcentral also lists the same sequence under 2 other names. The record is from Rfam by way of RNAcentral.
GUGGGUAUAGCUCAGUGGUAGAGCACAUGCUUAGCAUGCAUGAGGAGUCCUGGGUUCAAUUACCAGGGCCUCCA